GAUGAACGCUGGCGGCGUGCCUAAUACAUGCAAGUCGAGCGAACGGACGAGAGGCUUGCUUCUUUGAUGUUAUCGGCGGGCGUGUGUGUCACAUGUGGAUACCCUACCUAUACGACUGGGAUAACUUCGAAACGCCGGCUCUAACCGCGGGAAAUCUUUUGUACCACAUUGAUCAAAAAAAAGAGACAAUCUUUCUAUUACUUAUUGAUGCAUCCGCGCUGCAUUAGCUAGUUGGUAAGGUAACGGCUUACCAAGGCAACGAUGCAUAGCCGACCUGAGAGGGUGAUCGGCCACACUGGAACUGAGACACGGUCCAGACUCCUACGGGAGGCAGCAGUAGGGAAUCUUCCGCAAUGGGCGAAAGCCUGACGGAGCAACGCCGCGUGAGUGAUGAAGGUCUUCGGAUCGUAAAACUCUGUUAUUAGGGAAGAACAGAUGUGUAAGUAACUGUGCACAUCUUGACGGUACCUUAUCAGAAAGCCACGGCUAACUACGUG
RNAcentral lists this ribosomal RNA (497 nucleotides) under uncultured bacterium. RNAcentral's name for it is "partial 16S ribosomal RNA". It matches the Rfam family "Bacterial small subunit ribosomal RNA", at positions 28 to 507 of the family's 1533-position model. The record is from RNAcentral.